Molecule: ribosomal RNA, 469 nt
Filed under: uncultured bacterium
Lineage: Bacteria
Description: partial 16S ribosomal RNA
Rfam family: Bacterial small subunit ribosomal RNA
Source: RNAcentral
GAUGAACGCUGGCGGCGUGCCUAACACAUGCAAGUCGAACGGUGAAGCGCCAGCUUGCUGGCGUGGAUCAGUGGCGAACGGGUGAGUAACACGUGAGCAACCUGCCCCUGACUCUGGGAUAACAGCCGGAAACGGCUGCUAUAACCGGAUAUGCACCAUGAACGCAUGUUCUGUGGUGGGAAAGAUGUGUCGGUUGGAGAUGGGCUCGCGGCUUAUCAGCUUGUUGGUGAGGUAUUGGCCCACCACGGCGUCGACGGGUAGGCGGCCGUGGAGGGUGAACAGGGACAAUAGGCCUGAGACAGGGAGCAGACGCCAACGGGAGGCAGCAGUCGAGAGUAUUGCACAAUGGGCGCGAGCGUGAUGCAGCGGCGCCGCGUGAGGGAUGACGGCCUUCGGGUUGUGAACCUCUUUUAGCAGGGAAGAAGCGGGAGUGACGGUACCUGCAGAAAAAGCGCCGGCUAACUACGUG